RNAcentral lists this transfer RNA (72 nucleotides) under Salmo salar (Atlantic salmon). It matches the Rfam family "tRNA". Rfam says of the family: Transfer RNA (tRNA) molecules are approximately 80 nucleotides in length. Their secondary structure includes four short double-helical elements and three loops (D, anti-codon, and T loops). The record is from Rfam by way of RNAcentral. Lineage: Eukaryota; Metazoa; Chordata; Actinopteri; Salmoniformes; Salmonidae.
UCCCGUGUGGCUCAGUUGGUAGAGCAUGGUGUUUGCAACAUCAGGGUUGUGGGUUCGAUUCCCACUGGGGAC